CUCGACCGUGAAACAAGGUACUCCACGAUUGAAACGAGAGUGCCUUGCAGUCAUCUUCGCCAUCAACAAGUUUGACUUCUACCUACGCGCAGAUUCUUGUUUGGGGGGCAGUGUGAGGGGUAACUACGCCCUGCCGGCCUUGUUAAACUGCCGGCCUUGUUAAAUCUACCGGCCUCGUUCCGCCCUGGCUCCUACUUCCGAGCCGACGUCAUAGCCCGGCUAGCGGGCUAAGGCAGACACCAGCUCACCACCACAGAGUGCACACCUCUCCUUCUCAACCUCACGCUGGUCCUUCGUCUCACUGGGAAAGCUGCGUAUCUGGGCUCCUUGCUGCUUCUCCCCUGGCUGUACCGCCCGACCAAGUCACCACUGCUGUCUCCCACUGCACUCCAGCCCAUGGACUUCACUUCCCUGGCCUUUAGCUGAGAGGAUUACAACCGGUGCUCCCAACCCCGGUGACUCAGCAGGCCAACACCUUUUGCACACUACAGUGGUUUGAUUACUUUUUGGUCAUUUUGUUGUCUUUGUUUGUGUUUAAUACUCACCCUUAUUU
Long non-coding RNA from Eriocheir sinensis (Chinese mitten crab), 553 nucleotides. RefSeq lists it as uncharacterized. The record is from RefSeq and is a predicted model, not a curated record. The transcript has 2 exons. NCBI's taxonomy places the organism in Eukaryota, Metazoa, Arthropoda, Malacostraca, Decapoda, Varunidae.